Long non-coding RNA from Mirounga angustirostris (Northern elephant seal), 1185 nucleotides. RefSeq lists it as uncharacterized. The record is from RefSeq and is a predicted model, not a curated record. The transcript is spliced from 3 exons. NCBI's taxonomy places the organism in Eukaryota, Metazoa, Chordata, Mammalia, Carnivora, Phocidae.
AGUCAUCAGAUUAGGACGGCCUUCGGAGCCAGCACGCUGUGUGGAUCUGCCAGGAGGCAAGAGGGCUCUGCUUCCCAGCUACCGGCACACUCGUUUUCAGGGGUUUUCCUACAAGGUUGUAGCCAUGAGGUGCCCUGAGCUGGUCCGCGGGCGCCCUAAUCGGGGCCGCCGGUUUCAUCAUCCUUAUCUGGGACUGAGGCCCAGUCGAGGGGCCCCGUCCUCCCUCACAUCCAGCCUCACGAGUGGGAAGACAGGAAGGACCCCGCAGAGGAAGGUGCAGAGCACAGAGUGCACAGAACUCAGCGUUUGUCUUGUUCAGCCUUCUCCGCCGUGGGAAGCAUGAAGCCUGGUCUUCCGUUCCCUCCAUCCACGCUCUAGAGCCAAACGUGCUGAUCCCACUUGAUGUCCUAACACAAAUGGCCUGGAGUUUUUCACACUUUUAAGAGGUUGAAAAGUCAGAAGAAUAUUUCUUGAUACAUAAAACUUGUAAAAAAAUUCAAAUUUCAGCGUCCAGAAACAAAGCUUUAUUGGAACACAGCUUCAGCCCUUUGGCAUGGAUGGUGUUUGUGGGGUCACUGACCAAUGGCAGCUGUGGAUUGCAGACAGCAGGUGGACCCCAAGGCCCCACACAGCCCAAGUGCUUGCUCGCUGCCACGACAGAAGUCUGCAGACCCCUGACCGACCGAAACACCUCCACUCGGCUGUCCUCCGAGUCUUCUGUCUUGUUACUGCUAUGACCGACUUCUGCUAAAUCAUUUGAGUUUUUCUUUUCUUCUUUCAUUUUAAAAGUAAUUCAUGUUUGGGGCGCCUGUGUGGCUGAGUCGGUUCAGUGUCUGACUCUUGAUUUCCGCUCAGGUCAUGAUCUCAGGGUCAUGAGAUCGAGCCCCGCAUCAGACUCCACGCUCAGCACGGAGUCUGCUUGAGAUUCUCUCUCUCCCUCUGCCCCUCCCUCCUCUCUCUCUCUCCCAAAUAAAUAAAUAAAUAGUUCUAAAAAAUAAAAAAAAACUUAAAAUAAAAUAAAAUUCAGCAGCUGUUUAAAAAACAAUAAUAAUAAUUCCCUGUGUUUAACAGGAUUCCUCAAAUAAACCCCAAAUGUUUAACUAGCCCGGCCUCACAUUCUUGGGAAGGGCGGGAAUAGUACUAGUUGUAUUUAUUUUCUUUUUUUUCCUAAUAAAAAAUAAAACU